ACCAGACUCCUACGGGAGGCAGCAGUGGGGGAUAUUGCACAAUGGGGGGAACCCUGAUGCAGCGACGCCGCGUGGGUGAAGAAGCGCCUCGGCGCGUAAAGCCCUGUCAGCAGGGAAGAAAAUGACGGUACCUGAAGAAGAAGCCCCGGCUAACUACGUGCCAGCAGCCGCGGUAAUACGUAGGGGGCAAGCGUUAUCCGGAUUUACUGGGUGUAAAGGGGGCGCAGACGGCGAUGCAAGCCAGGAGUGAAAGCCCGGGGCCCAACCCCGGGACUGCUCUUGGAACUGCGUGGCUGGAGUGCAGGAGGGGCAGGCGGAAUUCCUGGUGUAGCGGUGAAAUGCGUAGAUAUUAGGAGGAACACCAGUGGCGAAGGCGGCCUGCUGGACGACAACUGACGGUGAGGCGCGAAAGCGUGGGGAGCAAACAGGAUUAGAUACCCCUGUA
Molecule: ribosomal RNA, 445 nt
Filed under: uncultured bacterium
Lineage: Bacteria
Description: bacterial SSU rRNA
Rfam family: Bacterial small subunit ribosomal RNA
Source: RNAcentral